GGGCAGAGGAAAUCAAGUAGAAAGUGCAGAUGCACACAUUACACUCAGGGAGGCUAUAGCAGCUGGGUAUUGCAUUCUGCUGAUUUCCAAAGGAACCAGUUUAUGGAUCAGCUUAAAGAUAACUUGGUCAUCUGUCACAGGACAUCUGCUUCCUGUAAACUGACUCUAUCCUUUCUUUUCACUUACAGCCCUGACCACUGAACCACUGUGGUUUAAUUAUGCAAAACUGGGGUUGAAGAUUCAAGAUAUUGCUCAGAUUGUUUUGCAGUAAACUCUUCUGAUUCAGCAGUGUCAGCAGGAAGGAGCCCAUGGAUGCCAAACUAACUCCAUCUCUGCAGCCUGUUGUGCCAUCACAUGAAAAUAGGAUUCUUGCUUCUGGAUCACUCAGCUCUGUUGUGCAGGUCAAAGCAGGACGUGAUGCUACAUGGAAAGACAAGCCAAGGAGAGCUUGCUCAGGUUUCCUUACAUUCCAAAAAAAAAGAGCCAGGUGUAAGAGCUUGGAGUAAUUUGAAGUUAAUCUCCUACUGAUACCUUCAAGCUUGAAAGCUUUAUGAGCAUCUCUGCUACACUCCUCAAGAAAACUGCCUGAUCAAAGCUGCCCAAACAUGGUAUGUCUGUGACUCCAUUUCCCUCUGCACUGUGGAGCUGGAUUCAUGUCACCAGGUAGGUGCCACUCUUUUUCCAGAAGGACAGUAACAAAGUUUGUUCCCCUGUGUGUUAAAGAAA
RNAcentral lists this long non-coding RNA (726 nucleotides) under Junco hyemalis (dark-eyed junco). RNAcentral's name for it is "lncRNA (ENSJHYG00000016612.1)". The record is from RNAcentral. Lineage: Eukaryota; Metazoa; Chordata; Aves; Passeriformes; Passerellidae.